RNAcentral lists this ribosomal RNA (548 nucleotides) under uncultured Glomeromycotina. Its description in RNAcentral is "SSU rRNA". It matches the Rfam family "Eukaryotic small subunit ribosomal RNA", at positions 548 to 1097 of the family's 1831-position model. The record is from RNAcentral. Lineage: Eukaryota; Fungi; Glomeromycota.
UUGGAGGGCAAGUCUGGUGCCAGCAGCCGCGGUAAUUCCAGCUCCAAUAGCGUAUAUUAAAGUUGUUGCAGUUAAAAAGCUCGUAGUUGAAUUUCGGGGUUAGUAGGUUGGUCGUGCCUCAGGUAUGUACUGAUCUCACUGAUUCCUCCUUCCUGAUGAACCGUAAUGCCAUUAAUUUGGUGUUGCGGGGAAACUGGACUGUUACUUUGAAAAAAUUAGAGUGUUUAAAGCAGGCUAACGCUUGAAUACAUUAGCAUGGAAUAAUGAAAUAGGACGUUCGACCCUAUUUUGUUGGUUUCUAGGAUUGACGUAAUGAUUAAUAGGGAUAGUUGGGGGCAUUAGUAUUCAAUUGUCAGAGGUGAAAUUCUUGGUUUUAUUGAAGACUAACUACUGCGAAAGCAUUUGCCAAGGAUGUUUUCAUUAAUCAAGAACGAAAGUUAGGGGAUCGAAGACGAUCAGAUACCGUCGUAGUCUUAACCAUAAACUAUGCCGACUAGGGAUCGGAUGAUGUUAAUUUUUUAAUGACUCAUUCGGCGCCUUACGGGAAA